Molecule: transfer RNA, 75 nt
Filed under: Candidatus Colwelliibacteriota bacterium
Lineage: Bacteria; Candidatus Colwelliibacteriota
Description: tRNA-Met
Rfam family: tRNA
About the family: Transfer RNA (tRNA) molecules are approximately 80 nucleotides in length. Their secondary structure includes four short double-helical elements and three loops (D, anti-codon, and T loops). Further hydrogen bonds mediate the characteristic L-shaped molecular structure. tRNAs have two regions of fundamental functional importance: the anti-codon, which is responsible for specific mRNA codon recognition, and the 3' end, to which the tRNAs corresponding amino acid is attached (by aminoacyl-tRNA synthetases). tRNAs cope with the degeneracy of the genetic code in two manners: having more than one tRNA (with a specific anti-codon) for a particular amino acid; and 'wobble' base-pairing, i.e. permitting non-standard base-pairing at the 3rd anti-codon position.
Source: RNAcentral
GCCGGCGUAGCUCAGUGGUGGAGCGAGGGACUCAUAAACCCUAGGUCGAAGGUUCGAUUCCUUCCGUCGGCACCA